UACGUAGGGUGCAAGCGUUAUCCGGAAUCACUGGGCGUAAAGCGUUUCGUAGGCGGACUAACAAGUCGGUAGUGAAAUAUCUCGGCUCAACCGGGAGACCGCUAUCGAAACUGUUAGUCUAGAAUCUCAAAGGGGAGGCUGGAACUGUUAGUGUAGCAGUGAAAUGCGUUGAUAUUAACAGGAACACCAAGGGCGAAGGCAAGCCUCUGGGUGAGAAUUGACGAUGAGGAACGACAGCUAGGGGAGCGAAAGGG
Molecule: ribosomal RNA, 254 nt
Filed under: uncultured bacterium
Lineage: Bacteria
Description: partial 16S ribosomal RNA
Rfam family: Bacterial small subunit ribosomal RNA
Source: RNAcentral